This 299-nucleotide long non-coding RNA is filed under the name Bos taurus (domestic cattle). RNAcentral's name for it is "long non-coding RNA NONBTAT008971". Lineage: Eukaryota; Metazoa; Chordata; Mammalia; Artiodactyla; Bovidae. The record is from RNAcentral.
CCAGUAGCUCAAAUAGGAAUCAGAAAACCAUGUUUAACUCUUUCUCUUAUUCUACCUUUAAUAAUCAGUUUCUGCUCCUAAAUUCUGAUUCUAGUUUGUGUUUUCUCCCUUUAGAACGUCUCAUUAUGUGAGACUAUCUGGAGUUCCACCAGGUCUGCCUCCAUGUAGGCUUUAAUGACCGGAUACAUGAAGCUAUUGCAAGACCUUUCCUACUGGCCUCUCAACUGGCCAUCAGUCCUUAUCUCCUACCCACCCAAUGUAGCAUCCACAUGAUUAAUCUGUGUAAAGAAAAUUAACCU